Molecule: ribosomal RNA, 460 nt
Filed under: uncultured bacterium
Lineage: Bacteria
Description: partial 16S ribosomal RNA
Rfam family: Bacterial small subunit ribosomal RNA
Source: RNAcentral
CCUACGGGUGGCUGCAGUGAGGAAUAUUGGUCAAUGGACGUAAGCCUGAACCAGCCAAGUCGCGUGAGGGAUGAAGGUUCUAUGGAUCGUAAACCUCUUUUGUAAGGGAAUAAAGUGUGGGACGUGUCCUAUUUUGUAUGUACCUUAUGAAUAAGGAUCGGCUAACUCCGUGCCAGCAGCCGCGGUAAUACGGAGGAUCCGAGCGUUAUCCGGAUUUAUUGGGUUUAAAGGGUGCGUAGGCGGCCGUUUAAGUCAGCGGUGAAAGUCUGUGGCUCAACCACAGAAUUGCCGUUGAAACUGGGUGGCUUGAGAAUGUUUGCGGUAGGCGGAAUGGAUGGUGUAGCGGUGAAAUGCUUAGAUAUCACACAGAACCCCGAUUGCGAAGGCAGCCUGCCAAGCCACGACUGACGCUGAUGCACGAAAGCGUGGGGAUCAAACAGGAUUAGAUACCCGGGUAGUC